CGAGAGGACUGGGAAGCACUGACCCCUGGUGUACCGGUUGUGUCGCUAGAUGCACCGCCGGGUAGCUAAGUCGGGUACGGAUAACCGCUGAAAGCAUCUAAGCGGGAAGCCUCCUCCAAGAUAAGAAUUCCAUUCCCUUCGGGGAAGAAGGGCCCAGAUAGACUAUCUGGUUGAUAGGCUGGGUGUGUAAGCACAGAAAUGUGUUCAGCUAACCAGUACUAACGCCCGAUUACUUGAUCAU
RNAcentral lists this ribosomal RNA (241 nucleotides) under Phycisphaerae bacterium. RNAcentral describes it as "partial 23S ribosomal RNA". It matches the Rfam family "Bacterial large subunit ribosomal RNA", at positions 2684 to 2925 of the family's 2925-position model. The record is from RNAcentral. Lineage: Bacteria; Pseudomonadati; Planctomycetota; Phycisphaerae.